RNAcentral lists this long non-coding RNA (202 nucleotides) under Prunus persica (peach). RNAcentral's name for it is "long non-coding RNA (PPER_LNC001989)". Lineage: Eukaryota; Viridiplantae; Streptophyta; Magnoliopsida; Rosales; Rosaceae. The record is from RNAcentral.
CAUUAUGAAUGUUUAUAUGUUAUAUGUUAUAUGUUUAUGGCUAAAUUCAUUCCAAACCAUGAGAUGCAAAAUGUUCCCUUCAACUUUUCCCACUGAUGAUUUGCCCCUAAAUUUGUACCUGACAAUGCUUGGCUUUUGAUAUAUUAGGAACCAUUCCUCCUCAACAAUGACGUGGGCUCCUUGAAAAACAACUCAUGUUUCC